Molecule: long non-coding RNA, 421 nt
Filed under: Sarcophilus harrisii (Tasmanian devil)
Lineage: Eukaryota; Metazoa; Chordata; Mammalia; Dasyuromorphia; Dasyuridae
Description: lncRNA (ENSSHAG00000029468.1)
Source: RNAcentral
GUCCAGUUUUGCCAAGAGAAUGAACGGACCUGCCUCUGCAAAGAUUUAUGAGAGAUGCAUCGCUCAUCCCUUCUUCAGGUCCAGAUUUAGAGAUAAGGACUCGCGCUGGGAUUUUGUUUGGCACCUUUCCAGCAUGUUAUGGACCAACUUAGUUCCCUAAAGCACAGCGUUAAGUAGUUUACCCAGUUACCUAUCCAGGAUAUGCUAAGGUUUCUUCAUCUCUGAGUGACCUGACAUUUGAGUUUUGGGAUCUGUAAGAGUGAGAGCACCAGACCUGAAGAAAAGAUGGCUCUCUUCAUCACUGAACAAUUGGAACUGGUUUGAAUCAUCCCAUUGUUGAAGAGAGCCGCGUCCAUCAGACUUGAUCAUCAUAUAGAGUCUUCUUGUUGUAAGGCAGAGAUUCUUAACCUGAAUUUAUUUU